UUUUUUGUUUUCUGAGAGCUCUUUGCUCUAUGGCAACUGCAAAUCCCUUCUUCUUCUGGGCUAUGGCGAUAUCACUAAAAAUUGUCGUUCCUUACAAAGAAUCUCACACUAAACGAAGAAAAUUAACAACAGAUAACAAUUCAGGUUAGGUAUACGAUUGGAAUCCCAAUUCCUAAAGUGUGUGUGUGUGUGUGUGUGAGAUAGUGAGAUCGAUUAAAGAAAUGGUUGGUGACAGGAAAGGAGUUGUAGACAGGUAAUGAAACCUACAUACGAUGAUUGGAAGAAAAAGAAAAAGAAAACACAAAGGAAAUUACUCAGACACUGCCUUUACUUCAUGCCCCGUUUACUUGUCAAUGUUAGCCAAUUUAUUGUAACAC
Molecule: long non-coding RNA, 377 nt
Filed under: Olea europaea (common olive)
Lineage: Eukaryota; Viridiplantae; Streptophyta; Magnoliopsida; Lamiales; Oleaceae
Description: long non-coding RNA (OEUR_LNC012061)
Source: RNAcentral